RNAcentral lists this unclassified non-coding RNA (253 nucleotides) under Hevea brasiliensis (rubber tree). Lineage: Eukaryota; Viridiplantae; Streptophyta; Magnoliopsida; Malpighiales; Euphorbiaceae. The record is from RNAcentral.
UUUCAUUUUUAUUUUUACUUUUUUGCUACAUUGGAAUUUAAACGUGCUGCAGGGAUUGCCCGCGGUACAUGGAGGAAUUCCUUAUCACAAUUGGUUUACGUGGAGAAAUUGAGCCCUAACCUUUAAUUUUGAUCAUAAAUGUGUUGACCAAACAUAUAUGAGAUGAUAUAUCUCAUAAGGGAGAAGCAUUGUGAUGUCAAUCAAAUGAUCAAGGUAGAGUAGCUGAAAUGGAGAAGUGCAUUGUGAGUGAGUC